Molecule: ribosomal RNA, 322 nt
Filed under: uncultured eukaryote
Lineage: Eukaryota
Description: partial 18S ribosomal RNA
Rfam family: Eukaryotic small subunit ribosomal RNA
Source: RNAcentral
CCCUUAGAUGUCCUGGGCCGCACGCGCGCUACGCUGACAUGUUCAACAAGUUUCUCCUAGUUCGACAGGACUGGGAAAUCUUUGAACGCAUGUCGUGAUAGGGAUAGAUCAUUGCAAUUAUUGAUCUUGAACGAGGAAUUCCUAGUAAACGCGAGUCAUCAGCUCGCAUUGAUUACGUCCCUGCCCUUUGUACACACCGCCCGUCGCACCUACCGAUUGAAUGUUUCGGUGAAGAUUCCGGAUAGGACUGAUUUGAUUUAUUUCAUUUCUGACCUAAAAGCUAUCUAAACCUCAACAUUUAGAGGAAGGUGAAGUCGUAACA